Molecule: ribosomal RNA, 494 nt
Filed under: uncultured bacterium
Lineage: Bacteria
Description: partial 16S ribosomal RNA
Rfam family: Bacterial small subunit ribosomal RNA
Source: RNAcentral
GACGAACGCUGGCGGCGUGCCUAAUACAUGCAAGUAGAACGCUGAAGGAGGAGCUUGCUUCUCUGGAUGAGUUGCGAACGGGUGAGUAACGCGUAGGUAACCUGCCUGGUAGCGGGGGUUAACAUUGGAAACGGUAGCUAAUACCCCCUUAUUGGAGAUGUUUCAUUACCUUUUCUUAAAAAGUUCCAUUUCCUCCAUUACAGAUUGGACUGCGUUGUAUUAGCUAGUUGGUGGGGUAACGGCUCACCAAGGCGACGAUACAUAGCCGACCUGAGAGGGUGAUCGGCCACACUGGGACUGAGACACGGCCCAGACUCCUACGGGAGGCAGCAGUAGGGAAUCUUCGGCAAUGGACGGAAGUCUGACCGAGCAACGCCGCGUGAGUGAAGAAGGUUUUCGGAUCGUAAAGCUCUGUUGUAAGAGAAGAACGAGUGUGAGAGUGGAAAGUUCACACUGUGACGGUAUCUUACCAGAAAGGGACGGCUAACUACGUG